AGUCGAGCGAGAAAACUAAUUGAGUCUUCGGACAAGAGAAGUUUUGGAAAGCGGCGGACGGGUGAGUAACGCGUGGGUAACCUGCCCUAUGGAGGGGGAUAACGCAAAGAAAUUUGCGCUAAUACCGCAUAAGCACACAGGAUCACAUGAUCUAGGGUGAAAACUCCGGUGCCAUAGGAUGGACCCGCGUAAGAUUAGCUAGUUGGUGAGGUAAUGGCUCACCAAGGCAACGAUCUUUAGCCGACCUGAGAGGGUGAUCGGCCACAUUGGGACUGAGACACGGCCCAAACUCCUACGGGAGGCAGCAGUGGGGGAUAUUGCACAAUGGGCGAAAGCCUGAUGCAGCAACGCCGCGUGAAGGAAGACGGUUUUUCGGAUUGUAAACUUCUAUCAGCAGGGAAGAAAAUAGACUGUACCUGACUAAGAAGCCCGGCUAACUACGUG
This 444-nucleotide ribosomal RNA is filed under the name uncultured bacterium. RNAcentral describes it as "bacterial SSU rRNA". It matches the Rfam family "Bacterial small subunit ribosomal RNA", at positions 60 to 507 of the family's 1533-position model. The record is from RNAcentral.